GCCCCUGUAGCUCAGAUGGAUAGAGCAACUGCCUUCUAAGCAGUAGGUCACGGGUUCGAGUCCUGUCGGGGGCGCCA
RNAcentral lists this transfer RNA (77 nucleotides) under Synergistaceae bacterium. RNAcentral describes it as "tRNA-Arg". It matches the Rfam family "tRNA". Rfam says of the family: Transfer RNA (tRNA) molecules are approximately 80 nucleotides in length. Their secondary structure includes four short double-helical elements and three loops (D, anti-codon, and T loops). Further hydrogen bonds mediate the characteristic L-shaped molecular structure. tRNAs have two regions of fundamental functional importance: the anti-codon, which is responsible for specific mRNA codon recognition, and the 3' end, to which the tRNAs corresponding amino acid is attached (by aminoacyl-tRNA synthetases). tRNAs cope with the degeneracy of the genetic code in two manners: having more than one tRNA (with a specific anti-codon) for a particular amino acid; and 'wobble' base-pairing, i.e. permitting non-standard base-pairing at the 3rd anti-codon position. The record is from RNAcentral. Lineage: Bacteria; Thermotogati; Synergistota; Synergistia; Synergistales; Synergistaceae.